CCUCAGCGCUGCCAGCUGUGGAGUCAAACAGCAGACGGCUCAUUGUGGAACAAAAUUCUAAAUAUUUCAUAUUUGUGGCGUUUUUCUGCUCCAGUGUUUUAAAUUUUCCAGCCUGAAGUUUGCGAGGAGGACGGACUCGAUUAGCCGCUGUACCUUCUUCAUGUUGCUGCCCAGUUUGGGGUAGGGAGGCUUGUUGACUCGGUCCCAGUCCACCGGUACUUUGAUUUUCUCGUACAACUGGAAGAUCACCAGGGCGUCGUCGAUGUCUCUGUAACACACACACACACACACACGUCACAUGACCUUUCAUGAAGCACAGUCCGCCUGCAUUAUCAGGCGCGUUAGGCUCCGUUCUGAUCCACGUUUCUAAAGGCAGGAAGUGUCUGACUAGUGACUAGUGUUCUUACGCGUAGAGGUGGUUGACACGAGGGUUGACGCCCAGAGAGUUCAUCCAGUUCCUGAAGGUUCGCUCCUCCCUGGUUUCACCUGGAGGAAAACACCGGAUUAAAAACGCACAGUCAGGAAAUACUGCAGAGGAGGCGUAACGGACCUGCAUCUGUUCACGCCACCAAGAAGAUCGGUCAUCAGACUUCACUGCAAAAACAUCUGGUCACAUUAGUGAGCGGCUGAUUGAGUUCAACCUACUCAGAGGUAACUCGGGGUCGACAAACUCUGACCGCCUACUCUGGAGUUAAACGGUACUACGAAGGUGGAUGAGAUGUUGGUUAGUUGAGUCGGUGUUCGCAUAAAAGGGGCGUGUUCGGCCGUGUAGACAGAGGUAUUCACAAGUAGAACGCACGUAGAUAGUGUCAGGAUAUGACGAGAUUAAAGACCAAAUCUAAAACCGCGGCCGCCGACAAAGCCAGGGAGGCUUGUUGCUGCAUCACAUUGAGUAAAUUUGUAGCCUAAUUAUCUUCAGUGUUCUUAUUUUAUGUGUAAUAUGAUUAAGAUUUAAAAGGGACAUCUGCACAUAAGGUCCACUGCAGUAGAAGAAAAGGAGCCGGCGGAGAGGGGGAAUAAUCCCAGACAGAAUUUAAUUUCCAAGAUUAAUCUACAAGUAAAAAACCUGAAUAUUCUCUGACAUUAUAGUCACACAUUUAUGAGAGAAACUUCACUUUGCAAGGCUGCAACAUCACACACACACGCGCGUCUGCCGUGUAUUAUGCAUGAACUGGAAAGUUAUAUUAGACUUUGCAAUCGGAUUUAGCAGUGAGGAAACACUCCUGAGUUCAGCCCAGGCUGCGGAGCUCGCUGUCUGAACGUGACGCUGCUGUGUUCAGAACUUCAGUGCAGCCGCAGUCGAGCCAAUCGGGAUGAAAUCUAAACAUGUUUUAUGAAGCGGUGUGGAUUAAUAUCUAGCUUCUCAUCAUUAACACUGAGUACAGAUGUGGUGUGGAGUCCACGUGCAGGGUGACCUCCCGGUUUAGAGACCUGUCCACCUUUGGCUUAUCCAGGUUUGCAGUGAGAAAAGGUCAGAGGGCCGCGAGGUCUCACCUUCGAUGGAGCUCCAGUCGAUGUCCUGGUUCUCGGGUUUCUUCAGAGCCGGGUACUUGUUGAACAGAUUGGCAGCGAAAGCCAAGUUCAGUUUGGGGUUGCCGCGGACGACGUCUGUCGGCAUAACGAACUGUCUGCACCCGAGCCGGUCGGCCUGAUCCAGCAUGCACUCGGCCCGCUUCAGGUCGUCCUUCUCCUGCAGGGACGAGGACGAGGACAACAAAACUUUACGUUUUUAUACAGUCUGUUUUAUUGUUCCCAUCAGUGUUUUUAUUUCAGAUUAUUGUCGGUGUUUUAUCCUGUUUCAUAUUUGUAUUAUUUCUAAUAAUCUGAUCUUAUUUGCCUCCUGAAAUGUUUUCACUCUGGUUCAAUCAGCACUUUGUUUUGAAAAGUAAUGAAAUAAAGAUUAUUAUUAAUACUUUAGAAUGAUUAUAAACUACCAGCUGCACCCAAAGUUUUAUAAAUUUAAUUAGAGAAUUAUGUAGAUAGUAGUUUCCUGAAGCUUGUUAAAAUAUGUAUAAUAUUAUAUUUGAUUCCAGCCGUUUAUAAGAGCUACUGAGAAAGUACUUUAAUACCACUACAUAAUAAAUGAGCAAAUAAAUGUUGAGUGUUCUUCCCUCA
Molecule: long non-coding RNA, 2115 nt
Organism: Micropterus salmoides (largemouth bass)
Lineage: Eukaryota; Metazoa; Chordata; Actinopteri; Centrarchiformes; Centrarchidae
Exons: 2
Source: RefSeq, a predicted model, not a curated record